Molecule: ribosomal RNA, 279 nt
Filed under: uncultured Glomus
Lineage: Eukaryota; Fungi; Glomeromycota; Glomeromycetes; Glomerales; Glomeraceae
Description: partial 18S ribosomal RNA
Rfam family: Eukaryotic small subunit ribosomal RNA
Source: RNAcentral
UUGGAGGGCAAGUCUGGUGCCAGCAGCCGCGGUAAUUCCAGCUCCAAUAGCGUAUAUUAAAGUUGUUGCAGUUAAAAAACGCUCGUAGUUGAAUUUCGGGAUUAGUACGUCGGUCGUGCCUUAGGUACGUACUGGUGUUACUGGUUCCUACCUUCUGACGAACCAUCAUGUCAUUAAUUUGGUGUGGUGGGGAAUCAGGACUGUUACUUUGAAAAAACUUAGAGUGUUUAAAGCAGGCUCGCGCUUGAAUACAUUAGCAUGGAAUAAUGAAAUAGGACG